GCCCCUAUUCAGGAACUAAUUGGAAGGGAUCUUCAUGAUAUAUAAUGAAUGGAAAUUCAGACAUGUUUCGAGGAGGCUUGCAACAACACUAGAGUAAUUGGUACAUGAAGUAGAUCGAGGAAGAUCCCUGCAAAGUUCAUCUUGAAGUAGAGGAAAAUAACUAACUUGUAAAGCUUAAUUAUCGAUCUUGUAAAUUUUGGUAGAAGCUUCAUUCAUUUUGUAACAUUUAUGAGGAAAAUUAAAGUGUAACAUUUCCUUUUAUAUAAGUUUCAUUCCUUUUUGUAUA
Molecule: long non-coding RNA, 286 nt
Organism: Rosa chinensis
Lineage: Eukaryota; Viridiplantae; Streptophyta; Magnoliopsida; Rosales; Rosaceae
Exons: 2
Source: RefSeq, a predicted model, not a curated record